GGGUUGUGAGGUUAAGCGACUAAGCGUACACGGUGGAUGCCCUGGCAGUCAGAGGCGAUGAAGGACGUGCUAAUCUGCGAUAAGCGUCGGUAAGGUGAUAUGAACCGUUAUAACCGGCGAUUUCCGAAUGGGGAAACCCAGUGUGUUUCGACACACUAUCAUUAACUGAAUCCAUAGGUUAAUGAGGCGAACCGGGGGAACUGAAACAUCUAAGUACCCCGAGGAAAAGAAAUCAACCGAGAUUCCCCCAGUAGCGGCGAGCGAACGGGGAGGAGCCCAGAGCCUGAAUCAGUGUGUGUGUUAGUGGAAGCGUCUGGAAAGGCGCGCGAUACAGGGUGACAGCCCCGUACACAAAAAUGCACAUAUUGUGAGCUCGAUGAGUAGGGCGGGACACGUGGUAUCCUGUCUGAAUAUGGGGGGACCAUCCUCCAAGGCUAAAUACUCCUGACUGACCGAUAGUGAACCAGUACCGUGAGGGAAAGGCGAAAAGAACCCCGGCGAGGGGAGUGAAAAAGAACCUGAAACCGUGUACGUACAAGCAGUGGGAGCACGCUUAGGCGUGUGACUGCGUACCUUUUGUAUAAUGGGUCAGCGACUUAUAUUCUGUAGCAAGGUUAACCGAAUAGGGGAGCCGAAGGGAAACCGAGUCUUAACUGGGCGUUAAGUUGCAGGGUAUAGACCCGAAACCCGGUGAUCUAGCCAUGGGCAGGUUGAAGGUUGGGUAACACUAACUGGAGGACCGAACCGACUAAUGUUGAAAAAUUAGCGGAUGACUUGUGGCUGGGGGUGAAAGGCCAAUCAAACCGGGAGAUAGCUGGUUCUCCCCGAAAGCUAUUUAGGUAGCGCCUCGUGAAUUCAUCUCCGGGGGUAGAGCACUGUUUCGGCAAGGGGGUCAUCCCGACUUACCAACCCGAUGCAAACUGCGAAUACCGGAGAAUGUUAUCACGGGAGACACACGGCGGGUGCUAACGUCCGUCGUGAAGAGGGAAACAACCCAGACCGCCAGCUAAGGUCCCAAAGUCAUGGUUAAGUGGGAAACGAUGUGGGAAGGCCCAGACAGCCAGGAUGUUGGCUUAGAAGCAGCCAUCAUUUAAAGAAAGCGUAAUAGCUCACUGGUCGAGUCGGCCUGCGCGGAAGAUGUAACGGGGCUAAACCAUGCACCGAAGCUGCGGCAGCGACGCUUAUGCGUUGUUGGGUAGGGGAGCGUUCUGUAAGCCUGUGAAGGUGUGCUGUGAGGCAUGCUGGAGGUAUCAGAAGUGCGAAUGCUGACAUAAGUAACGAUAAAGCGGGUGAAAAGCCCGCUCGCCGGAAGACCAAGGGUUCCUGUCCAACGUUAAUCGGGGCAGGGUGAGUCGACCCCUAAGGCGAGGCCGAAAGGCGUAGUCGAUGGGAAACAGGUUAAUAUUCCUGUACUUGGUGUUACUGCGAAGGGGGGACGGAGAAGGCUAUGUUGGCCGGGCGACGGUUGUCCCGGUUUAAGCGUGUAGGCUGGUUUUCCAGGCAAAUCCGGAAAAUCAAGGCUGAGGCGUGAUGACGAGGCACUACGGUGCUGAAGCAACAAAUGCCCUGCUUCCAGGAAAAGCCUCUAAGCAUCAGGUAACAUCAAAUCGUACCCCAAACCGACACAGGUGGUCAGGUAGAGAAUACCAAGGCGCUUGAGAGAACUCGGGUGAAGGAACUAGGCAAAAUGGUGCCGUAACUUCGGGAGAAGGCACGCUGAUAUGUAGGUGAAGUCCCUCGCGGAUGGAGCUGAAAUCAGUCGAAGAUACCAGCUGGCUGCAACUGUUUAUUAAAAACACAGCACUGUGCAAACACGAAAGUGGACGUAUACGGUGUGACGCCUGCCCGGUGCCGGAAGGUUAAUUGAUGGGGUCAGCGCAAGCGAAGCUCUUGAUCGAAGCCCCGGUAAACGGCGGCCGUAACUAUAACGGUCCUAAGGUAGCGAAAUUCCUUGUCGGGUAAGUUCCGACCUGCACGAAUGGCGUAAUGAUGGCCAGGCUGUCUCCACCCGAGACUCAGUGAAAUUGAACUCGCUGUGAAGAUGCAGUGUACCCGCGGCAAGACGGAAAGACCCCGUGAACCUUUACUAUAGCUUGACACUGAACAUUGAGCCUUGAUGUGUAGGAUAGGUGGGAGGCUUUGAAGUGUGGACGCCAGUCUGCAUGGAGCCGACCUUGAAAUACCACCCUUUAAUGUUUGAUGUUCUAACGUUGACCCGUAAUCCGGGUUGCGGACAGUGUCUGGUGGGUAGUUUGACUGGGGCGGUCUCCUCCUAAAGAGUAACGGAGGAGCACGAAGGUUGGCUAAUCCUGGUCGGACAUCAGGAGGUUAGUGCAAUGGCAUAAGCCAGCUUGACUGCGAGCGUGACGGCGCGAGCAGGUGCGAAAGCAGGUCAUAGUGAUCCGGUGGUUCUGAAUGGAAGGGCCAUCGCUCAACGGAUAAAAGGUACUCCGGGGAUAACAGGCUGAUACCGCCCAAGAGUUCAUAUCGACGGCGGUGUUUGGCACCUCGAUGUCGGCUCAUCACAUCCUGGGGCUGAAGUAGGUCCCAAGGGUAUGGCUGUUCGCCAUUUAAAGUGGUACGCGAGCUGGGUUUAGAACGUCGUGAGACAGUUCGGUCCCUAUCUGCCGUGGGCGCUGGAGAACUGAGGGGGGCUGCUCCUAGUACGAGAGGACCGGAGUGGACGCAUCACUGGUGUUCGGGUUGUCAUGCCAAUGGCACUGCCCGGUAGCUAAAUGCGGAAGAGAUAAGUGCUGAAAGCAUCUAAGCACGAAACUUGCCCCGAGAUGAGUUCUCCCUGACCCUUUAAGGGUCCUGAAGGAACGUUGAAGACGACGACGUUGAUAGGCCGGGUGUGUAAGCGCAGCGAUGCGUUGAGCUAACCGGUACUAAUGAACCGUGAGGCUUAACCUUACAACGCCGAAG
RNAcentral lists this ribosomal RNA (2925 nucleotides) under Escherichia coli. RNAcentral's name for it is "23S ribosomal RNA". It matches the Rfam family "Bacterial large subunit ribosomal RNA". The record is from RNAcentral. Lineage: Bacteria; Pseudomonadati; Pseudomonadota; Gammaproteobacteria; Enterobacterales; Enterobacteriaceae.